Rhopilema esculentum is the source of this 3322-nucleotide non-coding RNA. NCBI's taxonomy places the organism in Eukaryota, Metazoa, Cnidaria, Scyphozoa, Rhizostomeae, Rhizostomatidae. The record is from RefSeq and is a predicted model, not a curated record.
UCAAUCGAUGCACUUGCCGACGCUAUUAAUAAAUUUACUGGAGGGGUGAUUAUUGUCAGCCAUGAUGCUCGACUUAUAUUAGAAACAGACUGUCGUCUCUCGAUUGUUGAGGACCAGUCAGUGGAAGAGAUCGACGGGGAUUUUGAUGAUUAUAGAAAGGAAAUUCUCGAAGCACUUGAAGAGCCUAUUGCAAACAAACACUAACUUCUGUUAUUCAAAAUCAAUUUUACAUUUAUUGGUUGGUAUAGUACAAAGUAUAAGAAUUUCCUUCGCAUAAUCUCGCUUUGUCCUGUUUUUGCAUUUUCUUGUGGCUGAUUUUUCUUGUAGAGCCAAAGAACACCACGUCCUCAACCUGUUCUGAUAUUUUCAAUGUUCUUCUACCUUCGCAUCUUCCGAUGUCUUUUUCGGUUCAGGUGCUCAUUGCCUUUCAACCCAAUGUUUACUCUAUAUUUUAUUCUUUAAAUUUUAAACAUCGUUAGCUUAGUAUUUAUGUUAAAAAGUUCCACGUCCAAAAUCUUAAAAACUGUAAAAAUCCGAAUAUUACAAUUUAGAAUGCCGAUAGGGACGAAAAAUAUAGCAUCUAAUGGUUUUGCUCGAUUGGGUAUAAAGAGCAAAAAACCAGCAAACACAGAGAGGGUGGAGGGGGGCUAAUUUGAAGAUUUGCGCCAGAGGAUAAAGGGAUUCAAUUUUCCCAUUUGAGGUAAUUGAACUCGAGGUUCUGUAAGAGCCUCGUUUGGACUAAUUUUCAAAUUGAAAAUAAACAUGGCUGCUAUCCACGUGGAAAGAUCACUAAUCAACUAAAGGAAAAAGAUAGAGGUCCAUGAUUCAGCAAGAUCUACGACAGCUUCGGCCAGAAAAAUAAUUGUCUGCCAUUUGGAAGUCAGCUAUAGAACGAUAAACUUCAUGCAGAUCAUGUACAGCGAUAUACCAACAUUUGAAGGCGAUUUUAAUGAACUGAAGUUCUAAUUGUUCCGCAUAAAAAGAGGGUAAAAUUUUUAUUGAGUAUCAUAUAAUUGCCGUUUCCAUUGCACAUAAUUUAGUCCUUAGAUGAUAGACGUAUUGAACUUCCAUUUCUCCGAUCCAUUCUUUAGAUUUACAUGUACAUACCGACAUCCCCAUUUAAGUUUUUUUAGCUUUUACCCCCCCCCCUCCCCCUCUUUUUAAGGAUAAUAUCGAUAUAUUGCAGUUAUCAGGACCUCAUAUAUUAAAGGUUGGACACACUGGGCCAAAAUCCCUUCAAUAAAGUCCCACCUGUUGAUACCUGCUCUUUGCCUAGAAUGAAUUAAUGCCCUAUAAUAUAGUUUAGCUUACAAAGAUGUAGAGUUAUACAUUAUUAGAUUGAAACCUUUUUUGAUUGAAACGAUAAUAAUUGAAUACAUUAUAGUCAUUGUAACAGUUAUUAUAAAUCCAACACCAUAUACGCUCCUAUAUUCCCCUUUGCAACUCGGUACCUACACACCUUUAGCUAACCUUAUCAGUAAAGUCAGCUGUUAGGAAGCAAUUGCGUUUUAAAUUAAAAUAUGUGUUUAAUUUCACUUUAAAGUUGCUGUGAAGUUUAAGAGUACAUUAGUAUUUUAUGCCAUUAGACUGUGACAACCAAUGCUGAAUCAGCUAAUGGAGAUGCCUUGCAAUGUCCUUCACCCCUAAAUAAAUAUAUCGAUCCCUAUUGUUUCUCCUUCCUUGUUGAGACAAUGAAUCAGUAAAUUUCCACCCAUCGUUUUCAUAGGACGCUAAGACCUUAAAUCAGACACAUUGCCAGUCUUUUGUAGUAAUUGUUCUCUCGUUCUCAUGGGGUUGAACUACAAUCGCCGAGAAGUAGAUGAAAAUUGAAUAACUAGCACUGCUAGCACGCACCAUAGAAAGUUAAGAAAAGUUAAAGCACUCGUGCUAAGUAGCAAAUUUUAGGGCUUUCCCUUUGAGUUCUCUCCAUCCACCCUUUACAACGCUGGCAAACCCCGAUUUCAAUAACACUAACAAGAAUUUAUAAACAAUGUUGAUACAAGAAGUUUGCUUUUAACGGCUGACUGCCAAGUAUUCCCCUUACCACAACUUCCCCUCUCUAUGCAGACACGCCUAAUCAUUUAUCAGAGCUUAUGGUGCAGAAAAUUGGUCUUGCAAAGCAACCUUGGCUGCAACACUCUGGAUACAGAGGGGCUUUUGAGUUUGCAAGGAUUUCCACAGAGGGUGUUGUCUCUACGGCAAAUAAAGAAGUUGCUUUUAAGUGUCGUUGCUAUUAUUUCUUUACGUGAUGUAUUCAGUGCUCGAUUCCAAAGGAAGUUGGUAUCGUUAACAUCAGUACCCCCUCUGGCUACGGACAUGCUAACCAUUUUAAAUGUCAGCUGCAGGUUCCAAGAGAACACGGGGUAUUUAUGCAUUCCGGUAGGACAUAGUGACUUCUCCGUUGUAAGAAGAAAGUGCCGGAUGCAUUAAUAUCUUAUUUCAGAAGAAAGUUUAUGUGUAAAACUAAUUGAUUACCAUAGACGAGACACUUUUCUUUAAAGAGAGGGAUGACUUUACACUAAGCAAAAGCAAUAUCCUUUUAAGUUCGGCUAUGUACUGAAUGUUGAGCGAGGAGAGAACCUCCCCAGUUGAGCCUCUAGCUUUACAAAUCGUCUAUUGAAUUUCUUUUGUUAAAUGUGAGAAGUCUUUGAAUUGGUAGUUUGCUCAAGAGAAGUAUUUUUUGUAGCUUCGUUAUUCAGCCGAUUUUUUCGUUGAAUUGUGAAAUGAUGAACUGAGACAUUCACCUCUUCGUGUAUAUUUUUUGUUUAUUUUUCCUGCUUUUCCUAACUUGGAAAAUUGACAAUUUUCGCAAGCCGGUCACUACAUUCCUUUCUUUACACAAAGAGAGCCUUUUGUCUCCGAUUGAAUAGGCAGUGUUUCAACUAAAUGUUGCAUUUUUGGCAAAAGUAUACAUUGUAUCAAUUUAUACGUUAUACCACAGGAUGCAGGAGAUUGUGCUCUUCCUUCUGGUCUUUUCGCUGGGACGAUCGGACCAUUUUUGGCAAAGUUAUUCGACUUUUUCUCAGUUUUGACCGAGGGGGAUUCAGGAUUGCACAAAGCAGUUCAGAAAAAACAAUAGGCUUGUGAUUCCCAGAGUUUGUAAAGAUCUCAGUUUUUGGUGAUUUACUCCUAAACUAUAAUAGCCAUGAAUUUCUAGUUUAAUUCAUGAGACGGGCCGUUCGAUGCUCGAUUUUUUGAGCCAUUCCCCGUAUUUUUAGGACCAGUUUUAGCCGAGUUAUUAAGGAUUUUGUCUCGAAAAUCGCCAAAAAACGGUUUUUUGGACUUUAAAAAUCGAAAACAGCUGAUAAAAAUCUGCUGAUAC